GUGCCCUUUUAAGGUUGAUGCAGUGCUUUAAAAGACUUAACACAGAAGUAAGUCUCCAUAAAAUUCAGGGAACAGAUUGUAAAACCCUUUAUUGGAUCCUGUCUGCAGAUACAGUA
Erinaceus europaeus (western European hedgehog) is the source of this 116-nucleotide small nucleolar RNA. The record is from Ensembl. NCBI's taxonomy places the organism in Eukaryota, Metazoa, Chordata, Mammalia, Eulipotyphla, Erinaceidae.